This 399-nucleotide ribosomal RNA is filed under the name uncultured bacterium. RNAcentral's name for it is "partial 16S ribosomal RNA". It matches the Rfam family "Bacterial small subunit ribosomal RNA", at positions 338 to 734 of the family's 1533-position model. The record is from RNAcentral.
CCUACGGGAGGCAGCAGUGAGGAAUAUUGGUCAAUGGGCGCGAGCCUGAUCCAGCCAAGUAGCGUGAAGGAUGACUGCCCUACGGGUUGUAAACUUCUUUUAUAAAGGAAUAAAGUGAGGCACGUGUGCCUUUUUGUAUUUACUUUAUGAAUAAGGAUCGGCUAACUCCGUUCCAGCAGCCGCGGUAAUACGGAGGAUCCGAGCGUUAUCCUGAUUUAUUUGGUUUAAAGGGAGCGUAGAUGGGUUGUUAAGUCAGAUGUGAAAGUUUGCGGCUCAACCGUAAAAUUGCAAUUGAUACUGGCAGGCUUGAGUACAGUUGAGGUAGGCGGAAUUCGUGGUGUAGCGGUGAAAUGCUUAGAGAUCACGAAGAACACCGAUUGCGAAGGCAGCCUACUAAAC